AAGUGCUAACGUUAACCGUCUGUCUGUCUGUCUGUCUGUCUGUCUGUUCUCAACCAAACAGUCAUUCAAACCUUUUAAAGUAAGGACUAACGUUAACUGACUGUCUGUCUGUUCUCAACCAAACAGUCAUUCAAGACCUUUGAAAGCAUUUCCUGGGCAAGUUUGAAUUUCUCUCAGUAAGGACUGACGGACGGCCAUUCACUCAUAAAACCUUUUAAAGGUUAGCACGAAUGCGUCGAGCAUUAUUUUGGAUCUUUACCAUUGAGGAGACUGGCUGACUGUUCUCAACCAAGCACCAUUUACACGCAAAAACUUUAAAGGUUCCACAUUUGAUUAUUAUGUUGUUAGUAUACCACCGUUCUGUUAGUGAAACAUUUAUUCAUAUUUUUGUGUUUUCUCACAGGUAAGAACGAACGCGUCUUUACUAUUGAGGAGGCUGACUGACUUUCAUCUAACAACCGUCAUUAACACAACAAAAACUAAAGAAAUGUUACUACAAGUGGACCUAUUUAUUUACUCAUCAUGCUGUGAGUAGACCACAGUUUUGUCGGUGAAAAAAUAAAAUUUGAGUUUUCUCACUGCUUGGUGUAGACAAAUGUGACCCUGUGUAAUUUGGAAAUUUCAUUGGAAUGUUUAAAUGUCAUUUGAAUUAAGGAACAGUACACUGAUUUUGUUUUAAAAUAUUCCUGUUUGGACAGUCUAUUAAAGUCAUAAAGGAAUACUUGAUAUAUUUUAUAAGGAAUGUGUAAAUCUUAAAUUAGUUUUAAUGUGAAUUUAGACUGAACAGCACACUUUUGUUUUAUGUCUAAAGCAAUGUUUGUAAAAUAAAUGAUUGUUCAAUAAACUGUAAUAAUUUUAC
This is a non-coding RNA of Misgurnus anguillicaudatus (oriental weatherfish), 859 nucleotides long. The record is from RefSeq and is a predicted model, not a curated record. NCBI's taxonomy places the organism in Eukaryota, Metazoa, Chordata, Actinopteri, Cypriniformes, Cobitidae.